RNAcentral lists this ribosomal RNA (1083 nucleotides) under Triticum aestivum (bread wheat). Its description in RNAcentral is "partial small subunit ribosomal RNA". Lineage: Eukaryota; Viridiplantae; Streptophyta; Magnoliopsida; Poales; Poaceae. The record is from RNAcentral.
AUGCCGCUGCCGUCGCCGCCCGCCCGGCUGGCCGUGCCGGCCGCCGUCCUCCUCGUCCUCCUCCACCUCGCCGCCACGGCCACGGCGACCAACUUCACCUGCAGCGCGCCGCGGGGCACCACCUGCCAGUCCGCCAUCGGCUACCGCGUGCCCAACGCCACCACCUACGGGGACCUCCUCGCCCGCUUCAACACCACCACCCUCGCCGGCCUCCUCGGCGCCAACGGCCUCCCGGUCGCCACCUCGCCCAAGAAGCGCGUCGCCGCCAAGCAGACCGUCCGCAUCCCCUUCCGCUGCCUCUGCGCCGGCAACGGCGUCGGCCAGUCGGACCACGCGCCCGUCUACACCGUGCAGCCGCAGGACGGGCUGUACGCCAUCGCCCGCGACUCCUUCGACGCCGUCGUCACCUACCAGGAGAUCGCCACCGCCAACAAGAUCGCCGACGUCAACCUCAUCACCGUCGGCCAGAAGCUCUGGAUCCCGCUGCCCUGCAGCUGCGACCCCGUGGACGGCGCCGCCGCCGUCUUCCACCUCGCCUACAUCGUCGACGGCGGGGAGACCACCUCCGGCAUCGCCGCCACCUUCGGCGUCACCGAGGACACGCUGCUCAAGCUCAACAAGAUCGCCGACCCCAAGACACUGCAGAAGGACCAGGUUCUUGAUGUCCCGCUCCCUGUUUGCAGCUCAUCAAUCAGCAACACCUCGGAUGAUCAUGAUCUGCGCCUCCCGAACGGCACCUACACGCUCACCGCGCAGGACUGCAUCCAGUGCCGCUGCAGUUCAAACACCUUCCAGCUAAAUUGCACCGCAGUGCAAGGAAAAAAGGGAUGCCCAGCAGUGCCGCCGUGCAGCGAAGGGCUCAAUCUUGGGCAGACAAGUGGUGCCGGUUGCGACUUCAAGAUGUGCGCUUACAGUGGUUAUUCCAACAGCUCUUCACUCAGCAUACAGACCACUCUUUUCAAAAACCAGACAGCACCAGCUUGCGAGAAAGCAGGAUCUUUGAGGUCGGCGUUCGCAGGGUCCAUGUGGAGGAUAUCUGCUAUCUCCUUCCACAUGGUGUUGAUCUUGGUAUGCUUCCUUUGA